GAUGAACGCUGGCGGCGUGCCUAAUACAUGCAAGUCGAGCGAACGGACUAGUAGCUGGCUUCUCUGAUGUUAGCGGCGGACGGGUGAGUAACACGUGUAUAACCUACCUAUAAGACUGGUAUAACUGCGGGAAACGGUAUCUAAUCCCGGAUGAUGUUGGGAAGCGCAUGGUUCAAGAGUGAAAUACGGUCUGGCUUGCACUUAUGGAUUGAUCCGCGCUGCAUUAGAUAGUUGGUAAGGUAACGGCUUACCAAGGCAACGAUGCAUAGACGACCUGAGAGGGUGACCGGCCACACAGGAAGUGCGACACGGUCCAGACUCAUAUGGGAGGCAGAAGUAGGCAAUCUUCAGCAAUGGGCGAAAGCAUGACGGAGCAACGCGGCGGGAGUGAUGAAGGUCUUCGGAUCGUAAAACUCUGUUAUUAGGGAAGACCAUAUGUGUAAGUAAAUGUGAACAUGUCGAUGGUAACUAAUCAGAAAGCCACGGAUAACUAC
RNAcentral lists this ribosomal RNA (494 nucleotides) under uncultured bacterium. RNAcentral's name for it is "partial 16S ribosomal RNA". It matches the Rfam family "Bacterial small subunit ribosomal RNA", at positions 28 to 504 of the family's 1533-position model. The record is from RNAcentral.